Molecule: long non-coding RNA, 348 nt
Filed under: Salvia miltiorrhiza (redroot sage)
Lineage: Eukaryota; Viridiplantae; Streptophyta; Magnoliopsida; Lamiales; Lamiaceae
Description: long non-coding RNA (SMIL_LNC002023)
Source: RNAcentral
CUCAUUCACUCACAGUCACUGCUCGACAAUCCUGCUGCCAACUUGAACAAGGUGAGACUUGGCUUUAAUUCCCACCUUUAUUCAUGUUUUCACCUGCAUUUAUUGAAGAACAACGACUGUAAAUCAUUUCAGCCAUUCCAGUUAACACCUCAACACUUGAAGAAGUGAGAGAAAGAUCGUUCAUUCAUUACUCUGCCAAACUGCCAGAUUAUCUCAGUUCAUUCAACAACAUUCACUCUCAUUUUCACCAAGGGAUUAUCGAAACGCAACGGAGCCCAAACCCAUCUCCGCCAAAUCUUCAAGAAGGUAACCUUGGUUUAAUUCCCCACCUCCUGCCAUGUGUUUUCC